Molecule: long non-coding RNA, 318 nt
Organism: Portunus trituberculatus (swimming crab)
Lineage: Eukaryota; Metazoa; Arthropoda; Malacostraca; Decapoda; Portunidae
Exons: 3
Source: RefSeq, a predicted model, not a curated record
CUGGGCUCCCUUGGGGUUCUUUGCCUAGCUGUUGGGUGUACAGAUGUUUGUCGGGUUCCUGAAGAUUCGGCGACGUGUUAUCAUCCAUGCAAGCUUCCCCAACCCAGCCAGUGUACCACAAGACAACAGGCAGUGAGGAGGACGGUAGGAGGGAGCGAGCGGCUGCAUGCACUAUUGAACGGGACAGCAUUACAUUCUUGCCACAGUUGUAUGACUACACUGAAGCAAGCAUAGAAUAAAGUGUUGAGUGACCAUGAUGAAUCAGUACUACUAACGCCAAAGAAGUGAGGGAAGUGUUUGGAGUGAGCGUGCAAGACC